Long non-coding RNA from Lycium barbarum (goji berry), 1226 nucleotides. RefSeq lists it as uncharacterized. The transcript is spliced from 4 exons. The record is from RefSeq and is a predicted model, not a curated record. NCBI's taxonomy places the organism in Eukaryota, Viridiplantae, Streptophyta, Magnoliopsida, Solanales, Solanaceae.
AUUCCAUCUGGGUUAUUGUUGAUAGGCUGACAAAAUCAGCCCAUUUUCUCCCCGUCAGAACUACUUACUCCGCUGAGGAUUAUGCCAGGCUUUAUAUUAAAGAAAUUGUGCGACUUCAUGGAGUUCCUAUAUCUAUUAUCACUGACAGAGGUGCUCAGUUCACAGCGAAUUUCUGGAGAUCUUUUCAGGAAGGAUUAGGGACUCAGCUGAGCCUGAGCACAGCUUUUCAUCCUCAGAGUGACGGACAGGCCGAGCGCACUAUCCAGACGCUUGAAGAUAUGUUGCGGGCCUGUGUUAUUGAUUUCAGAGGUAGCUGGGAGGAUCACUUGCCAUUGAUUGAAUUUUCUUAUAAUAACAGCUACCAUUCCAGUAUCCAGAUGGCCCCGUACGAGGCUUUAUAUGGUAGGAAAUGCAGGUCACCUAUCGGCUGGUUUGAUAUUGGCGAGACAGAGUUAAUUGGCCCAGAUAUGAUCCAGCAGGCCGUUGAUAAGGUGAAACUUAUUCGGGAGCGGCUAUUGGCAGCCCAGAGUCGACAGAAAUCAUACGCUGAUAAACGGCGUCGUCCUUUGGAAUUCCAGGUUGGUGAUUGGGUAUUUCUGAAGGUAUCGCCUAUGAAAGGCGUAAUGCGGUUAGGCAGAAAGGGCAAACUUAGUCUGCGUUAUAUUGGGCCUUAUUUGAUUGUGCGGAAAAAUUGGGAAUGUCGCCUAUUAGUUAGAUCUGCCAUCUGAAUUGGAAGCGGUACAUCCGGUAUUCCAUGUAUCUAUGCUCCGCAAAUGCAUUGGUGAUCCCUCCCAAAUAUUUCCUGCGGAUGAUAUUCAGGUGACGGAGCAGUUAUCUUAUGAGGAGCAGCCCGUAGCUAUUUUGGACCGCCAGGUAAGAAAGCUCCGAAACAAAGAUGUAGCCUCUGUUAAGGUGCUGUGGCGUAACAAUAAUAGGGAGGAAAUGACCUGGGAGGCCGAAGAGGAGAUGAAGAAGAAAUAUCCUCAUUUGUUCCCAGUGCCCUCAGUUGGUUUGGAGAAAGGAGACCUUAUUUCAUCAAAGUGAACACAAGUUCAAGUGAAGAAGACUUGAGGAAAAGAUUUUUGACGAAACGGGAAGUGAGUUUGGAAAGGCGUAAAGAGCUUGAAAGGUACUGACGAUAGGUUUACCGAUCCGUCUGUCUAGGAUAUCUUUUCCGCCAUUUGGAGCGCUCUUUUAUUCAGAGCCAUCUUUUGGUACAGUCUGUC